This 607-nucleotide ribosomal RNA is filed under the name Pseudomonas aeruginosa. RNAcentral describes it as "partial 23S ribosomal RNA". It matches the Rfam family "Bacterial large subunit ribosomal RNA", at positions 1 to 649 of the family's 2925-position model. The record is from RNAcentral. Lineage: Bacteria; Pseudomonadati; Pseudomonadota; Gammaproteobacteria; Pseudomonadales; Pseudomonadaceae.
GGUUAAGCGACUAAGCGUACACGGUGGAUGCCCUGGCAGUCAGAGGCGAUGAAGGACGUGCUAAUCUGCGAAAAGCGUCGGUAAGGUGAUAUGAACCGUUACAGCCGGCGAUGUCCGAAUGGGGAAACCCAGUGUGAUUCGUCACACUAUCGUUAACUGAAUACAUAGGUUAACGAGGCGAACCGGGGGAACUGAAACAUCUAAGUACCCCGAGGAAAAGAAAUCAACCGAGAUUCCCCCAGUAGCGGCGAGCGAACGGGGAGCAGCCCAGAGUCUGAAUCAGCUUGUGUGUUAGUGGAACGGUCUGGAAAGUCCGACGGUACAGGGUGAUAGUCCCGUACACCAAAAUGCACAGGCUGUGAACUCGAAGAGUAGGGCGGGACACGUGGUAUCCUGUCUGAAUAUGGGGGGACCAUCCUCCAAGGCUAAAUACUCCUGACUGACCGAUAGUGAACAAGUACCGUGAGGGAAAGGCGAAAAGAACCCCGGCGAGGGGAGUGAAAAAGAACCUGAAACCGUGUACGUACAAGCAGUGGGAGCACCUUCGGGUGUGACUGCGUACCUUUUGUAUAAUGGGUCAGCGACUUAUAUUCUGUAGCAAGGUUAA